UACGGAGGGGGCUAGCGUUGUUCGGAAUUACUGGGCGUAAAGCGCGCGUAGGCGGCUUUGUAAGUUAGAGGUGAAAGCCCGGAGCUCAACUCCGGAAUUGCCUUUAAGACUGCAUCGCUAGAAUUGUGGAGAGGUGAGUGGAAUUCCGAGUGUAGAGGUGAAAUUCGUAGAUAUUCGGAAGAACACCAGUGGCGAAGGCGACUCACUGGACACAUAUUGACGCUGAGGUGCGAAAGCGUGGGGAGCAAACAGG
Molecule: ribosomal RNA, 253 nt
Filed under: uncultured bacterium
Lineage: Bacteria
Description: partial 16S ribosomal RNA
Rfam family: Bacterial small subunit ribosomal RNA
Source: RNAcentral